CCUACGGGAGGCAGCAGUGGGGAAUAUUGCACAAUGGGGGAAACCCUGAUGCAGCGACGCCGCGUGAGUGAAGAAGUACUUCGUUAUGUAAAGCUCUAUCAGCAGGGAAGAAAAUGACGGUACCUGAGUAAGAAGCCCCGGCUAACUACGUGCCAGCAGCCGCGGUAAUACGCAGGGGGCAAGCGUUCUCCGGAUUUACUGGGUGUAAAGGGAGCGUAGACGGCAGUGCAAGUCUGGAGUGAAAGGCGGGGGCCCAACCCCCGGACUGCUCUGGAAACUGUACGGCUGGAGUGCAGGAGAGGUAAGUGGAAUUCCUGGUGUAGCGGUGAAAUGCGUAGAUAUUAGGAGGAACACCAGUGGCGAAGGCGGCUUACUGGACUGUAACUGACGUUGAGGCUCGAAAGCGUGGGGAGCAAACAGGAUUAGAUACCCCUGUAGUC
Molecule: ribosomal RNA, 440 nt
Filed under: uncultured bacterium
Lineage: Bacteria
Description: partial 16S ribosomal RNA
Rfam family: Bacterial small subunit ribosomal RNA
Source: RNAcentral